Molecule: ribosomal RNA, 494 nt
Filed under: uncultured bacterium
Lineage: Bacteria
Description: partial 16S ribosomal RNA
Rfam family: Bacterial small subunit ribosomal RNA
Source: RNAcentral
GACGAACGCUGGCGGCGUGCUUAACACAUGCAAGUCGAACGGAAAGGCCUGCUUUCCCUUGUGGAUUGCGGGUACUCGAGUGGCGAACGGGUGAGUAACACGUGAGUUAUCUGCCCCCAACUUGGGUAUAAGCCUGGGAAACUGGGUCUAAUUCCCGAUAGGACUGCAGGGUGGUGCCCGUGGUGGAAAACGAUUUUCUAGUGGUUGGGGAUGAGCUCUCGGCCUAUCAGCUUGUUGGUGGGGUAAUGGCCUACCAAGGCGGCGACGGGUAGCCGGCCUGGGAGGGUGGACGGCGACAUUGAGACUGGGACACGGCCCAGACGCCUACGGGAGGCAGCAGUGGGGAAUAUAGGACAAUGGGCGGAAGCCUGAUGCAGCGACGCCGCGUGGGGGAUGACGGCCUUCGGGUUGUAAACUCCUUUCGACCGCGAGGAAGCCACCUGGUUGGAAGGGUGGUGACGGUAGUGGUAGAAGAAGCACCGGCUAACUACGUG